Molecule: ribosomal RNA, 326 nt
Filed under: uncultured eukaryote
Lineage: Eukaryota
Description: partial 18S ribosomal RNA
Rfam family: Eukaryotic small subunit ribosomal RNA
Source: RNAcentral
CCCUUAGAUGUUCUGGGCCGCACGCGCGCUACACUGAUGCAUUCAACGAGCCUAGCCUUGACCGAGAGGUCCGGGUAAUCUUUGAAACUGCAUCGUGAUGGGGCUAGAUUAUUGCAAUUAUUAAUCUUCAACGAGGAAUGCCUAGUAAGCGUGAUUCAUCAAAUCGCGUUGAUUACGUCCCUGCCCUUUGUACACACCGCCCGUCGCUCCUACCGAUUGAGUGUGUUGGUGAGGAGUUCGGAUUGGCUCUUAGUGGUGGUUCGCCACCACCUAGAGCUGAGAAGUUCUCCAAACCGCCCCACUUAGAGGGAGGAGAAGUCGUAACA